UACAAAAAAUGCAUUUUAGCAUAAAUCCAAGGUUUUACAUAGUGACCAGUUUGUAUAGUGUAAGUAGUUCAGACCUUUUUCACAAUGGAUCAAUCAAUGUCAACUUUAAACUGUUUCUGCCUCCUCCAUUAAAUGGGUUACAUAAAAUCGAGUCGAUUAGAGUGUGUAUCAAGUGGGAGGGUUGUGGGUCUGUAUUUUUGACAUGAUUAUUAAUGAGUCGAUCUAGAGUUGGGAAUUUUGCUCUAAUGUAUGCAAUUCAAGUUGACAUGACCUGAUGAUACCAAUAUCCAUGACUCAUCUGUAUAUUAUCCCUUUUCCCUCAUCUCUUCUGAUAUCCUUUCCUUAAUAGUGACAAUGAGUCUUCUUCACUAGCAACAUUGUCCGAGUCUAACUGAUUCUAGACCAGUUUGUUGAACAAUUGCCUUUUCAUCAGCCUCCUCAUGGCAUUCCCAUCCUUGGGAAGUAUAAAAGAUAAAGUACUACUACUUUUAUCUUCUUCUUUUUUCCAUCAGAUGCAAUGCAUAUAUUCUGAAGUAUGUGUUGCCAUUAGGAGAUGGCAAAUUUUGACCCCAAAAAAAAAGUAAAAACAAUACAAAAAAUGCAUUUUAGCAUAAAUCCAAGGUUUUACAUAGUGACCAGUUUGUAUAGUGUAAGUAGUUCAGACCUUUUUCACAAUGGAUCAAUCAAUGUCAACUUUAAACUGUUUCUGCCUCCUCCAUUAAAUGGGUUACAUAAAAUCGAGUCGAUUAGCGUGUGUAUCAAGUGGGAGGGUUGUGGGUCUGUAUUUUUGACAUGAUUAUUAAUGAGUCGAUCUAGAGUUGGGAAUUUUGCUCUAAUGUAUGCAAUUCAAGUUGACAUGACCUGAUGAUACCAAUAUCCAUGACUCAUCUGUAUAUUAUCCCUUUUCCCUCAUCUCUUCUGAUAUCCUUUCCUUAAUAGUGACAAUGAGUCUUCUUCACUAGCAACAUUGUCCGAGUCUAACUGAUUCUAGACAGGUCAAUCAAGUUUCAUACAAGAAAGCAUGUUGCGUCAAGUUGACAUGGGUACUCGAAAAUGAUGUGGAAAAUUCAAGCAGAAUUCCUGAUAAACAAUAUUUUAAAAUCAACUCAUCCAAUAAG
RNAcentral lists this long non-coding RNA (1118 nucleotides) under Musa acuminata (dwarf banana). RNAcentral's name for it is "long non-coding RNA (MACU_LNC002877)". The record is from RNAcentral. Lineage: Eukaryota; Viridiplantae; Streptophyta; Magnoliopsida; Zingiberales; Musaceae.